UAAUACGUACUGUGCGAACGUUAUUCGGAAUCACUGGGCUUAAAGGGUGCGUAGGCGGUUUUUCAAGUCAGGUGUGAAAUCUUCAGGCUCAACCUGGAAAUGGCGCUUGAAACUGAGAGACUUGAGGCAGCUAGGGGUGUGUGGAACUUCCAGUGGAGCGGUGAAAUGUGUUGAUAUUGGAAGGAACGCCGGUGGCGAAAGCGACACACUGGGGCUGAACUGACGCUGAGGCACGAAAGCCAGGGGAGCGAACGGGAUUAGAUACCCCGGUAGUCCUGGCCGUAAACGAUGAGCACUAGUUGGGAGGGGCUUGUCCUUUCCCGACGCAGCGAAAGCAUUAAGUGCUCCGCCUGGGGAGUAUGGUCGCAAGGCUG
Molecule: ribosomal RNA, 374 nt
Filed under: uncultured bacterium
Lineage: Bacteria
Description: bacterial SSU rRNA
Rfam family: Bacterial small subunit ribosomal RNA
Source: RNAcentral